UAACGUCGCAGGACCAAAGAGGGGGACCUUCGGGCCUCUUGCCAUCAGAUGUGCCCAGAUGGGAUUAGCUUGUUGGUGAGGUAACGGCUCACCAAGGCGACGAUCCCUAGCUGGUCUGAGAGGAUGACCAGCCACACUGGAACUGAGACACGGUCCAGACUCCUACGGGAGGCAGCAGUGGGGAAUAUUGCACAAUGGGCGCAAGCCUGAUGCAGCCAUGCCGCGUGUAUGAAGAAGGCCUUCGGGUUGUAAAGUACUUUCAGCGGGGAGGAAGGUGUUGUGGUUAAUAACCGCAGCAAUUGACGUUACCCGCAGAAGAAGCACCGGCUAACUCCGUGCCAGCAGCCGCGGUAAUACGGAGGGUGCAAGCGUUAAUCGGAAUUACUGGGCGUAAAGCGCACGCAGGCGGUCUGUCAAGUCGGAUGUGAAAUCCCCGGGCUCAACCUGGGAACUGCAUUCGAAACUGGCAGGCUUGAGUCUUGUAGAGGGGGGUAGAAUUCCAGGUGUAGCGGUGAAAUGCGUAGAGAUCUGGAGGAAUACCGGUGGCGAAGGCGGCCCCCUGGACAAAGACUGACGCUCAGGUGCGAAAGCGUGGGGAGCAAACAGGAUUAGAUACCCUGGUAGUCCACGCCGUAAACGAUGUCUACUUGGAGGUUGUGCCCUUGAGGCGUGGCUUCCGGAGCUAACGCGUUAAGUAGACCGCCUGGGGAGUACGGCCGCAAGGUUAAAACUCAAAUGAAUUGACGGGGGCCCGCACAAGCGGUGGAGCAUGUGGUUUAAUUCGAUGCAACGCGAAGAACCUUACCUGGUCUUGACAUCCACGGAAGUUUUCAGAGAUGAGAAUGUGCCUUCGGGAACCGUGAGACAGGUGCUGCAUGGCUGUCGUCAGCUCGUGUUGUGAAAUGUUGGGUUAAGUCCCGCAACGAGCGCAACCCUUAUCCUUUGUUGCCAGCGGUCCGGCCGGGAACUCAAAGGAGACUGCCAGUGAUAAACUGGAGGAAGGUGGGGAUGACGUCAAGUCAUCAUGGCCCUUACGACCAGGGCUACACACGUGCUACAAUGGCGCAUACAAAGAGAAGCGACCUCGCGAGAGCAAGCGGACCUCAUAAAGUGCGUCGUAGUCCGGACUGGAGUCUGCAACUCGACUCCAUGAAGUCGGAAUCGCUAGUAAUCGUGGAUCAGAAUGCCACGGUGAAUACGUUCCCGGGCCUUGUACACACCGCCCGUCACACCAUGGGAGUGGGUUGCAAAAGAAGUAGGUAGCUUAACCUUCGGGAGGGCGCUUACCACUUUGUGAUUCAUGACUGGGGUGAAGUCGUAACAAGGUAACCGUAGGGGAACCUGCGGUUGGA
RNAcentral lists this ribosomal RNA (1352 nucleotides) under Salmonella enterica subsp. arizonae serovar 62:z4,z23:-. RNAcentral's name for it is "bacterial SSU rRNA". It matches the Rfam family "Bacterial small subunit ribosomal RNA", at positions 173 to 1522 of the family's 1533-position model. The record is from RNAcentral. Lineage: Bacteria; Pseudomonadati; Pseudomonadota; Gammaproteobacteria; Enterobacterales; Enterobacteriaceae.